GACGAACGCUGGCGGCGUGCUUAACACAUGCAAGUCGAACGGAAAGGCCCUGCUUUUGUGGGGUGCUCGAGUGGCGAACGGGUGAGUAACACGUGAGUAACCUGCCCUUGACUUUGGGAUAACUUCAGGAAACUGGGGCUAAUACCGGAUAGGAGCUCCUGCUGCAUGGUGGGGGUUGGAAAGUUUCGGCGGUUGGGGAUGGACUCGCGGCUUAUCAGCUUGUUGGUGGGGUAGUGGCUUACCAAGGCUUUGACGGGUAGCCGGCCUGAGAGGGUGACCGGCCACAUUGGGACUGAGAUACGGCCCAGACUCCUACGGGAGGCAGCAGUGGGGAAUAUUGCACAAUGGGCGGAAGCCUGAUGCAGCAACGCCGCGUGCGGGAUGGCGGCCUUCGGGUUGUAAACCGCUUUCGCCUGUGACGAAGCGUGAGUGACGGUAAUGGGUAAAGAAGCACCGGCUAACUACGUGCCAGCAGCCGCGGUGAUACGUAGGGUGCGAGCGUUGUCCGGAUUUAUUGGGCGUAAAGGGCUCGUAGGUGGUUGAUCGCGUCGGAAGUGUAAUCUUGGGGCUUAACCCUGAGCGUGCUUUCGAUACGGGUUGACUUGAGGAAGGUAGGGGAGAAUGGAAUUCCUGGUGGAGCGGUGGAAUGCGCAGAUAUCAGGAGGAACACCAGUGGCGAAGGCGGUUCUCUGGGCCUUUCCUGACGCUGAGGAGCGAAAGCGUGGGGAGCGAACAGGCUUAGAUACCCUGGUAGUCCACGCUGUAAACGGUGGGUACUAGGUGUGGGGUCCAUUCCACGGGUUCCGUGCCGUAGCUAACGCUUUAAGUACCCCGCCUGGGGAGUACGGCCGCAAGGCUAAAACUCAAAGGAAUUGACGGGGCCCCGCACAAGCGGCGGAGCAUGCGGAUUAAUUCGAUGCAACGCGUAGAACCUUACCUGGGUUUGACAUGGAUCGGGAGUGCUCAGAGAUGGGUGUGCCUCUUUUGGGGUCGGUUCACAGGUGGUGCAUGGCUGUCGUCAGCUCGUGUCGUGAGAUGUUGGGUUAAGUCCCGCAACGGGCGCAACCCUUGUUCACUGUUGCCAGCACGUUAUGGUGGGGACUCAGUGGAGACCGCCGGGGUCAACUCGGAGGAAGGUGGGGAUGACGUCAAGUCAUCAUGCCCCUUAUGUCCAGGGCUUCACGCAUGCUACAAUGGCUGGUACAGAGAGUGGCGAGCCUGUGAGGGUGAGCGAAUCUCGGAAAGCCGGUCUCAGUUCGGAUUGGGGUCUGCAACUCGACCUCAUGAAGUCGGAGUCGCUAGUAAUCGCAGAUCAGCAACGCUGCGGUGAAUACGUUCCCGGG
This 1343-nucleotide ribosomal RNA is filed under the name uncultured bacterium. RNAcentral describes it as "16S ribosomal RNA". It matches the Rfam family "Bacterial small subunit ribosomal RNA", at positions 28 to 1378 of the family's 1533-position model. The record is from RNAcentral.